CUUUAUGGCGGGCCAUGGUGGGAGAGUGUUCGCACUCGCCGGUCUCCGUAGCACCGGUACGCCAAUCCUGCCAUGUGCCUGCCACCCCG
RNAcentral lists this non-coding RNA (89 nucleotides) under Chitinimonas taiwanensis DSM 18899. The record is from RNAcentral. Lineage: Bacteria; Pseudomonadati; Pseudomonadota; Betaproteobacteria; Neisseriales; Chitinibacteraceae.